ACUAAGCGUACACGGUGGAUGCCCUGGCAGUCAGAGGCGAUGAAGGACGUGCUAAUCUGCGAUAAGCGCCGGUAAGGUGAUAUGAACCGUUAUAACCGGCGAUUUCCGAAUGGGGAAACCCAGUGUGAUUCGUCACACUAUCAUUAACUGAAUCCAUAGGUUAAUGAGGCGAACCGGGGGAACUGAAACAUCUAAGUACCCCGAGGAAAAGAAAUCAACCGAGAUUCCCCCAGUAGCGGCGAGCGAACGGGGAGGAGCCCAGAGCCUGAAUCAGCAUGUGUGUUAGUGGAAGCGUCUGGAAAGGCGCGCGAUACAGGGUGACAGCCCCGUACACAAAAGCGCAUGUGUUGUGAGCUCGAUGAGUAGGGCGGGACACGUGGUAUCCUGUCUGAAUAUGGGGGGACCAUCCUCCAAGGCUAAAUACUCCUGACUGACCGAUAGUGAACCAGUACCGUGAGGGAAAGGCGAAAAGAACCCCGGCGAGGGGAGUGAAAAAGAACCUGAAACCGUGUACGUACAAGCAGUGGGAGCUGAGGGAAAGGCGAAAAGAACCCCGGCGAGGGGAGUGAAAAAGAACCUGAAACCGUGUACGUACAAGCAGUGGGAGCCCCACCACUAAGCCAGUGGUGAACUCCACAUACGCAUCCUUUGCUGAGGAUACGGUUAACGGAGCGCAAGCGACGUUCAACCGCAAAAGAAGCAGAGGGGGCUUAGUGGUGGGGUGACUGCGUACCUUUUGUAUAAUGGGUCAGCGACUUAUAUUCUGUAGCAAGGUUAACCGUAUAGGGGAGCCGGAGGGAAACCGAGUCUUAAUUGGGCGUUAAGUUGCAGGGUAUAGACCCGAAACCCGGUGAUCUAGCCAUGGGCAGGUUGAAGGUUGGGUAACACUAACUGGAGGACCGAACCGACUAAUGUUGAAAAAUUAGCGGAUGACCUGUGGCUGGGGGUGAAAGGCCAAUCAAACCGGGAGAUAGCUGGUUCUCCCCGAAAGCUAUUUAGGUAGCGCCUCGUGAAUUCAUCUCCGGGGGUAGAGCACUGUUUCGGCUAGGGGGCCAUCCCGGCUUACCAACCCGAUGCAAACUGCGAAUACCGGAGAAUGUUAUCACGGGAGACACACGGCGGGUGCUAACGUCCGUCGUGAAGAGGGAAACAACCCAGACCGCCAGCUAAGGUCCCAAAGUCAUGGUUAAGUGGGAAACGAUGUGGGAAGGCCCAGACAGCCAGGAUGUUGGCUUAGAAGCAGCCAUCAUUUAAAGAAAGCGUAAUAGCUCACUGGUCGAGUCGGCCUGCGCGGAAGAUGUAACGGGGCUAAACCAUGCACCGAAGCUGCGGCAGCGAACGUAUCACUUAAAGCGAUUCAGCGGGUUACGAUUGACGGAGCGAAGCGACGUCAAAGCGUAUACAAAGUCGAGUCGGUUUAAGGAUACGUUCGUUGGGUAGGGGAGCGUUCUGUAAGCCUGUGAAGGUGGCCUGUGAGGGAUGCUGGAGGUAUCAGAAGUGCGAAUGCUNGUUGGGUAGGGGAGCGUUCUGUAAGCCUGUGAAGGUGGCCUGUGAGGGUUGCUGGAGGUAUCAGAAGUGCGAAUGCUGACAUAAGUAACGAUAAAGCGGGUGAAAAGCCCGCUCGCCGGAAGACCAAGGGUUCCUGUCCAACGUUAAUCGGGGCAGGGUGAGUCGACCCCUAAGGCGAGGCCGAAAGGCGUAGUCGAUGGGAAACGGGUUAAUAUUCCCGUACUUGGUGUUACUGCGAAGGGGGGACGGAGAAGGCUAUGUUGGCCGGGCGACGGUUGUCCCGGUUUAAGCGUGUAGGUGUGUGUUCCAGGUAAAUCCGGUUCACUUUAACACUGAGGCGUGAUGACGAGGCACUACGGUGCUGAAGCAACAAAUGCCCUGCUUCCAGGAAAAGCCUCUAAGCAUCAGGUAACAUCAAAUCGUACCCCAAACCGACACAGGUGGUCAGGUAGAGAAUACCAAGGCGCUUGAGAGAACUCGGGUGAAGGAACUAGGCAAAAUGGUGCCGUAACUUCGGGAGAAGGCACGCUGACAUGUAGGUGAAGUGAUUUACUCAUGGAGCUGAAGUCAGUCGAAGAUACCAGCUGGCUGCAACUGUUUAUUAAAAACACAGCACUGUGCAAACACGAAAGUGGACGUAUACGGUGUGACGCCUGCCCGGUGCCGGAAGGUUAAUUGAUGGGGUCAGCGCAAGCGAAGCUCCUGAUCGAAGCCCCGGUAAACGGCGGCCGUAACUAUAACGGUCCUAAGGUAGCGAAAUUCCUUGUCGGGUAAGUUCCGACCUGCACGAAUGGCGUAAUGAUGGCCAGGCUGUCUCCACCCGAGACUCAGUGAAAUUGAACUCGCUGUGAAGAUGCAGUGUACCCGCGGCAAGACGGAAAGACCCCGUGAACCUUUACUAUAGCUUGACACUGAACAUUGAGCCUUGAUGUGUAGGAUAGGUGGGAGGCUUUGAAGCGUGGACGCCAGUCUGCGUGGAGCCGGCCUUGAAAUACCACCCUUUAAUGUUUGAUGUUCUAACGUGGACCCGUGAUCCGGGUUGCGGACAGUGUCUGGUGGGUAGUUUGACUGGGGCGGUCUCCUCCUAAAGAGUAACGGAGGAGCACGAAGGUUGGCUAAUCCUGGUCGGACAUCAGGAGGUUAGUGCAAUGGCAUAAGCCAGCUUGACUGCGAGCGUGACGGCGCGAGCAGGUGCGAAAGCAGGUCAUAGUGAUCCGGUGGUUCUGAAUGGAAGGGCCAUCGCUCAACGGAUAAAAGGUACUCCGGGGAUAACAGGCUGAUACCGCCCAAGAGUUCAUAUCGACGGCGGUGUUUGGCACCUCGAUGUCGGCUCAUCACAUCCUGGGGCUGAAGUAGGUCCCAAGGGUAUGGCUGUUCGCCAUUUAAAGUGGUACGCGAGCUGGGUUUAGAACGUCGUGAGACAGUUCGGUCCCUAUCUGCCGUGGGCGCUGGAGAACUGAGGGGGGCUGCUCCUAGUACGAGAGGACCGGAGUGGACGCAUCACUGGUGUUCGGGUUGUCAUGCCAAUGGCACUGCCCGGUAGCUAAAUGCGGAAGAGAUAAGUGCUGAAAGCAUCUAAGCACGAAACUUGCCCCGAGAUGAGUUCUCCCUGAGACUUAAAGUCUCCUGAAGGAACGUUGAAGACGACGACGUUGAUAGGCCGGGUGUGUAAGCGCAGCGAUGCGUUGAGCUAACCGGUACUAAUGAACCGUGAGGCUUAACC
RNAcentral lists this ribosomal RNA (3232 nucleotides) under Salmonella enterica subsp. enterica serovar Derby. RNAcentral describes it as "bacterial LSU rRNA". It matches the Rfam family "Bacterial large subunit ribosomal RNA". The record is from RNAcentral. Lineage: Bacteria; Pseudomonadati; Pseudomonadota; Gammaproteobacteria; Enterobacterales; Enterobacteriaceae.